This 436-nucleotide ribosomal RNA is filed under the name uncultured Spelaeicoccus sp. Its description in RNAcentral is "bacterial SSU rRNA". It matches the Rfam family "Bacterial small subunit ribosomal RNA", at positions 354 to 796 of the family's 1533-position model. The record is from RNAcentral. Lineage: Bacteria; Bacillati; Actinomycetota; Actinomycetes; Micrococcales; Brevibacteriaceae.
GUGGGGAAUAUUGCACAAUGGGCGCAAGCCUGAUGCAGCGACGCCGCGUGAGGGAUGACGGCCUUCGGGUUGUAAACCUCUUUCAGUUGGGACGAAGCCAGCUUGCUGGUGACGGUACCUUCAGAAGAAGCACCGGCUAACUACGUGCCAGCAGCCGCGGUAAUACGUAGGGUGCAAGCGUUGUCCGGAAUUAUUGGGCGUAAAGAGCUCGUAGGUGGUUUGUCGCGUCUGCUGUGAAAACCUCCCGCUCAACGGGGGGCCUGCAGUGGGUACGGGCAGACUAGAGUGCAGUAGAGGAGUCUGGAAUUCCUGGUGUAGCGGUGGAAUGCGCAGAUAUCAGGAGGAACACCGGUGGCGAAGGCGGGACUCUGGGCUGUUACUGACGCUGAGGAGCGAAAGCAUGGGGAGCGAACAGGAUUAGAUACCCUGGUAGUCC